AUCACGUCCUCCUCCAUUUGCGGGAGUUUCUGACGUUAAAACGGCAGCAUUCGCUCGGCUACGGCAAAAACAAAGCUCUCUCCUAGAUACAAUAAUAAGAGAAUGGAUGUUGCUUUAGCCAGCGUUCCUUUUCAACACAGUGCUUUGAGAUAAACUACAUAAAGCUGAUGCACUCUAAUGUGUGUAGUCUGUAAAUUAGCCUAAUUUGGUCAAGCCCUGAAAAAAGGAAAGUCUUGAAAGCACAUGACUGUCAUACUCAUUUUAAUCCAGAUACAUUUUAUCAUCUCAUUUAAAUAAUUUGCUCUGAAGUGAACUUGAUUCAAUAUGAAAGUAAUUACUAUCUAUUAUAUUCAAACAAGAUGUUGUAAACCUUUGGUCAUGCUAAUCAAAUCUUCUUUUAUUCCAAAUUAAGAUUCUAGUUUUCUCGCUGUUCCCUCCUUUUCAGAUUUGAUGCUUAUUAUCUAAUUUUCUUUUUGAGGCCUUGAUUACACUUCGUCUGAAAAUGGACAGUAAUUACUGCCUCACUGCUUACAAAAGGUCUGCGGCAGAAAGAGGCCGAAAUCAUUCUUAUUCAAGGAACAACAAAGCAGGCAAAUGAAUCUCUUUCUGCCGUGUCUCAUUUCUGUGCUCCCAAUACACAUCUCUCCUCUGGAUUAAACCCUUUUACCCUUUCCCUUACGCUGUGAAUCAUACAUGCUCUAUUCAGAGACAUAAUAUGCACAACAAGCAUAAAACAAUAUUCAGAGGAGGCCUCGUGCUUUGAACAGGUUGGCCUGGAGCUCUGUUGCCGGAGUCACUUUGAUGUGGAUCUUAGCUCAUGAAAGACUGGUCCACUCUGGCCCGCAGUAUCAGCUGCAGAGAUGUGCACCUUGGCGGACUGUGGCCUCUCAGUGGCAGACCUGGUCCAUUCUCACCAUAGCUGUUCUCCUGCUGGCUCUGGUGCCAUUCGUGGUGUACCAGAUGACGACUGCUUUUGACAGUCCCCAUCCACACUCGCUCUUCAAGUCAGCUGCAAUCUGCUUUGGCCUGCUUAGUGAAGCCCUGUUGCUCAAGUGCUUGUGCAGUUACUUCAGCCACCGACUCCAGCGAGCAGAGCUAAGCUCCUUUAGCCUCCAACCUCGCAGAUCUGAGGAGCAUGAAGUCCAAACUAAUCUGAGUCAGUGCACCACGGCAGGGGUCAAAGGUUAGGACUCACAGACAUUGGCGGGAGAGAGGAACCACUUGGUUGUAAGCUCUGAGAGGACAGUAUCAGGGCUUCCACCGUUAAAUAUGACCAGAGGGAAUAAGACCUGUGGUGCAAGAAGAAGAAUAAAAAGAAAAAGACUGACUUAUUUAAAUGUCUG
This is a long non-coding RNA of Cyprinus carpio (common carp), 1343 nucleotides long. The record is from Ensembl. Lineage: Eukaryota; Metazoa; Chordata; Actinopteri; Cypriniformes; Cyprinidae.